CUGAGCUCCUAUUACGGGAUUAAAUCAGAAGAGCCCCAUUAUUUCUUAUAUUAUCCUAUAGCGUUAGUUACUCUGCCUGCCUGCUGAGUUGCCAUUGUAAACAUUUCCCCUAGAAUGCCAGUACAGAGGCAAUGAACAGCCCUUUGGGACACACAAACGAAGGCUGGAGUUCUUGAGGAAUAGAUGUGCACAGUUAUAACGCAGGAUGCCUACUUCAGGAGUGGCUGGUCUAUAUGGACAAAGAGUGGAGCCACAAGUAGCAAAGGAAGAGUGGAUAACAACUGAAAGCCACACUUCCNCCCAACUUAGUGCUCAACUGACCAGGUUCUGGUUCAAAUGCAUGGAAGUGAGACUUUGAAUGGUAUAUCACAGGUGAGGCUGUUCUNUCUGUCUUUCGUUGAAAAAGGACUUUCUGCUUUCAAUGACAUUUGAUGUGACAACAUCUGGACCUCCCUCAGCAUAGUUGUGGACCAGAACAGUACUGACGGUACCUUGUGGACCAUGAUGGAGAUCGUUAUUGGCAUUCCACCAUGAAAAUAAAUUUGUAUGGUGAUGGUAUAUAGCCA
RNAcentral lists this long non-coding RNA (566 nucleotides) under Salvator merianae (Argentine black and white tegu). Its description in RNAcentral is "lncRNA (ENSSMRG00000017731.1)". Lineage: Eukaryota; Metazoa; Chordata; Lepidosauria; Squamata; Teiidae. The record is from RNAcentral.